AUUGAACGCUGGCGGCGUGCCUAACACAUGCAAGUCGAGCGGUAACAGGUGUAGCAAUACAUGCUGACGAGCGGCGGACGGGUGAGUAACGCUUGGGAAUCUGCCUAUUAGUGGGGGACAACCCGGGGAAACUCGGGCUAAUACCGCAUACGCUCUACGGAGGAAAGCCGGGGACCGCAAGGCCUGGCGCUAAUAGAUGAGCCCAAGUCGGAUUAGCUAGUUGGUAGGGUAAGGCCUACCAAGGCGACGAUCCGUAACCGGUCUGAGAGGACGACCAGUCACACCGGAACUGAGACACGGUCCGGACUCCUACGGGAGGCAGCAGUGGGGAAUAUUGGACAAUGGGCGAAAGCCUGAUCCAGCGACGCCGCGUGGGUGAAGAAGGCCUGCGGGUUGUAAAGCCCUUUCAGUGGGGAAGAAAAGCCUCGACCUAACACGUCGGGGUCUUGACGUAACCCAUAGAAGAAGCACCGGCUAACUCUGUGCCAGCA
RNAcentral lists this ribosomal RNA (491 nucleotides) under uncultured bacterium. RNAcentral's name for it is "bacterial SSU rRNA". It matches the Rfam family "Bacterial small subunit ribosomal RNA", at positions 29 to 513 of the family's 1533-position model. The record is from RNAcentral.